UGCAGUCGACGAACUUCCGUUAAUUGAUUAUGACGUACUUGUACUGAUUGAGAUUUUAACACGAAGUGAGUGGCGAACGGGUGAGUAACACGUGGGUAACCUGCCCAGAAGUAGGGGAUAACACCUGGAAACAGAUGCUAAUACCGUAUAACAGAGAAAACCGCAUGGUUUUCUUUUAAAAGAUGGCUCUGCUAUCACUUCUGGAUGGACCCGCGGCGUAUUAGCUAGUUGGUGAGGUAAAGGCUCACCAAGGCAGUGAUACGUAGCCGACCUGAGAGGGUAAUCGGCCACAUUGGGACUGAGACACGGCCCAGACUCCUACGGGAGGCAGCAGUAGGGAAUCUUCCACAAUGGACGCAAGUCUGAUGGAGCAACGCCGCGUGAGUGAAGAAGGGUUUCGGCUCGUAAAGCUCUGUUGUUAAAGAAGAACGUGGGUAAGAGUAACUGUUUACCCAGUGACGGUAUUUAACCAGAAAGCCACGGCUAACUACGUGCCAGCAGCCGCGGUAAUACGUAGGUGGCAAGCGUUAUCCGGAUUUAUUGGGCGUAAAGCGAGCGCAGGCGGUCUUUUAAGUCUAAUGUGAAAGCCUUCGGCUCAACCGAAGAAGUGCAUUGGAAACUGGGAGACUUGAGUGCAGAAGAGGACAGUGGAACUCCAUGUGUAGCGGUGAAAUGCGUAGAUAUAUGGAAGAACACCAGUGGCGAAGGCGGCUGUCUGGUCUGCAACUGACGCUGAGGCUCGAAAGCAUGGGUAGCGAACAGGAUUAGAUACCCUGGUAGUCCAUGCCGUAACGAUGA
Molecule: ribosomal RNA, 798 nt
Filed under: Pediococcus pentosaceus
Lineage: Bacteria; Bacillati; Bacillota; Bacilli; Lactobacillales; Lactobacillaceae
Description: bacterial SSU rRNA
Rfam family: Bacterial small subunit ribosomal RNA
Source: RNAcentral